This 433-nucleotide ribosomal RNA is filed under the name uncultured bacterium. RNAcentral's name for it is "partial 16S ribosomal RNA". It matches the Rfam family "Bacterial small subunit ribosomal RNA", at positions 29 to 507 of the family's 1533-position model. The record is from RNAcentral.
AACGAACGCUGGCGGCAUGCCUAACACAUGCAAGUCGAACGAGACCUUCGGGUCUAGUGGCGCACGGGUGCGUAACCCGUGGGAACCUGCCCUUAGGUUCGGAAUAACUCCCCGACAGGGGUGCUAAUACCGGAUCAUGUCUUCGGCCCAAAGAUUUAUCGCCUUUGGAUGGGCCCGCGUUGGAUUAGCUAGUUGGUAGGGUAAAAGCCUACCAAGGCGACGAUUCAUAGCUGGUCUGAGAGGAUGAUCAGCCACACUGGGACUGAGACACGGCCCAGACUCCUACGGGAGGCAGCAGUGGGGAAUAUUGGACAAUGGGCGAAAGCCUGAUCCAGCAAUGCCGCGUGAGUGAUGAAGGCCGUAGGGUUGUAAAGCUCUUUUACCCGGGAUGAUAAUGACAGUACCGGGAGAAUAAGCUCCGGCUAACUCCGUG